This 497-nucleotide ribosomal RNA is filed under the name uncultured bacterium. Its description in RNAcentral is "partial 16S ribosomal RNA". It matches the Rfam family "Bacterial small subunit ribosomal RNA", at positions 28 to 507 of the family's 1533-position model. The record is from RNAcentral.
GAUGAACGCUGGCGGUGUGCCUAAUACAUGCAAGUCGAGCGAACGGACGAGAAGCUUGCUCCCUUGAUGUUAGCGGGGGACGGGCGAGUAACACGUGGAUAACCAUCUAAUAUGACGGGGAUAAUUUCGGGAAACCGGAGCUAAUACUGCAUAAUAUUUUGAACCGCAUGGAUCAAAAGUGAAAGACGGCCUUGCUGUCUCUAUUAGCUGGAUCCGCGCUGCAUUAGCUAGUUGGUAAGGUAACGGCUUACCAAGGCAACGAUGCAUAGCCGACCUGAGAGGAUGAUCGGCCACACUGGAACUGAGACACGGUCCAGACUCCUACGGGAGGCAGCAGUGGGGAAUCUUCGACAAUGGGCGAAAGCCUGACGCAGCCACACCGCGUGGGUGAAGAAGGUCUUCGGGUCGUAAAGCUCUGUUAUUGGGGAAGAACAGAUGUGGGAUUAACUGUGGACAUCUUGACGGUACCUAAUCAAAAAGCCACGGCUAACUUCGUG